This is a non-coding RNA of Lonchura striata (white-rumped munia), 307 nucleotides long. Lineage: Eukaryota; Metazoa; Chordata; Aves; Passeriformes; Estrildidae. The record is from RefSeq and is a predicted model, not a curated record.
AAGCCGGGCAGGGAGGACGGCAGCAUGUGGGAAAUGCAGUGGCACAGACCCUGAUGGAUGUCAUGGUUUGAUUGGUCAGGUGAAUGAUGCUGCCUCCUGUAGCCCCAUUUCCCCACGGCUGUGCCCCAGGAGCUCAAGGCAUGAAGAGCAGAGGAGGUCUCAGCCUCUUCCUCCUCCAGGAUCCCUACACAGCGAGCAUUUCCAGCAGUUUAUUCAACAGCUACAAGAAAAUAUUCCUGCACUCUCCAGCUCCACGAGGCACAUGACCCGGACAGUGCCAAUGGAAUAAACAUUUGCAUUUAAUUUA